RNAcentral lists this ribosomal RNA (467 nucleotides) under uncultured bacterium. RNAcentral's name for it is "partial 16S ribosomal RNA". It matches the Rfam family "Bacterial small subunit ribosomal RNA", at positions 28 to 507 of the family's 1533-position model. The record is from RNAcentral.
GACGAACGCUGGCGGCGUGCUUAACACAUGCAAGUCGAACGGAAAGGCUCCAGCUUGCUGGAGUACUCGAGUGGCGAACGGGUGAGUAACACGUGGGUAAUCUGCCCUGCACUCUGGGAUAAGCCUGGGAAACUGGGUCUAAUACUGGAUAUGACCUUUCUCCUUAUGGGGUUUGGUGGAAAGUUUUUCGGUGUAGGAUGAGCCCGCGGCCUAUCAGCUUGUUGGUGGGGUGAUGGCCUACCAAGGCGACGACGGGUAGCCGGCCUGAGAGGGUGAUCGGCCACAUUGGGACUGAGAUACGGCCCAGACUCCUACGGGAGGCAGCAGUGGGGAAUAUUGCACAAUGGGCGGAAGCCUGAUGCAGCGACGCCGCGUGAGGGAUGACGGCCUUCGGGUUGUAAACCGCUUUCAGCAGGGACGAAGCGUAAGUGACGGUACCUGCAGAAGAAGCACCGGCUAACUACGUG